Long non-coding RNA from Ziziphus jujuba (common jujube), 830 nucleotides. RefSeq lists it as uncharacterized. NCBI's taxonomy places the organism in Eukaryota, Viridiplantae, Streptophyta, Magnoliopsida, Rosales, Rhamnaceae. The transcript has 2 exons. The record is from RefSeq and is a predicted model, not a curated record.
ACAUAUCCCCGCAUCCGUAUUUAAAUUUUGGAUAUUUAUUAUCUGUAUUUCCGUAUUUUAAAUUUUAAAAAUUCACAAAUCCGACUCUUAGAUAUGUGUUCGUAUCUGAAUCCCAUAUCUGAGUCCGAGCAACAUAGGUAGAAAUCGAUUUCAGGAGGGAUUGAUUACCAGCUCUUGUGAAGCAACCCGGCCAAGUCAACAUCCUUCAUCACCUCGGCUCUCCUCGGGAAAAGUCUCCGGUGAGUUGUCCUACGGCACCCAAAUCUAUCCUACUCCCAGUUUCUUUAGGUUUUCAAUUUUAGCUGAAUUUGUUGGAUUGCUAACUCUUUCAGCCAAGAAAAGGAGUUGGAAGUGGUGAAUAUUAUAGAAAUAUAGUAUGUAUACUUGGUUGAGAAAUUUUGUUUUAUUUCAAAGAAAAAAAUCCAACCCAGAAGAAGAGCAAAGGGUAUUCCAUUAAUAAGCAGGAUGGCAAGAAGAGGAGUAAGAAAAGGUGAUCAUCAUCAAGAACACCACAAAGAUGUUUCUAAUUCAAAAAGAAGCCAAGAAGCAAGAUGGUUUUGAAUUCUAGUAUCCUAGAAGAUGAGGAGUUUGAUUUGGCACUUCGAGUGUUUGAUUUCCCAUGGUUGAAAGAUGGGGUGGUACAAAAUUAUCCUUGCCCUUGUCUCAUGUGACCAACACAUGAUGGGUUUUGUAUAGCAUUUUAACGGAAAGAGCAAUGGUGCAAGAUAAUGGUGAGUUCAGAGUACAAGAUGCCAGAAAAAAUUAUUUAAGGUGUAAAAUGCCAACUCCAAUCAAAUUAUCCAAUAAAAUUAAGGGUGCAAUCAUGCUAA